Molecule: RNA transcript, 4807 nt
Organism: Cucumis sativus (cucumber)
Lineage: Eukaryota; Viridiplantae; Streptophyta; Magnoliopsida; Cucurbitales; Cucurbitaceae
Exons: 5
Source: RefSeq, a predicted model, not a curated record
AAGGCUUUGCAAUGAAUGAAUAUCACACACUCUCUCCUAAUAAUAUGACGAGUGGUCUGUUCUGCGGCUGACUCUUCCCAUCCCCAUCUCCUCUCCCUCCACAUUUUUUCACUGCCCCGCCCAUGAAUGGCGAUGUAGCUCCGGCCGCCACUCCGGCCACUUCAGCUGAGCCCCAAUACAUCAGGGCUAAGACUUCUGUUUGGUGGGACAUCGAGAACUGUCAGGUCCCUAAGGGAUGUGAUCCUCACGCCAUCGCCCAAAACAUCAGUUUCUGCCCUCGUCAAAAUCAACUAUUGUGGCCCUGUCUCCAUUUCCGCUUAUGGGGAUACCAAUCGCAUUCCUAAUUCUAUUCAGCAGGCUCUUUCUAGUACUGGCAUCGCUUUGAAUCAUGUUCCUGCUGGUGUUAAAGAUGCAAGUGAUAAGAAGAUUCUAGUCGAUAUGUUGUUUUGGGCAGUUGAUAACCCUGCUCCUGCAAAUUAUUUGCUAAUUUCGGGUGAUAGGGAUUUUUCUAACGCACUUCAUCAAUUAAGAAUGAGAAGAUAUAAUAUUCUUCUUGCGCAGCCACAAAAGGCUUCUGCACCACUAGUAGCAGCAGCAAAGAGUGUUUGGCUUUGGAUGAGUCUUGUAGCUGGUGGACUUCCAAUAUCCAGUACUGAAUCAUCUCAACUUGUGAAUGGUAUCCCUACUUCUGAACCUCAAAUAUCUCAGACCUCUGGAUUUGAUCAUAAUCAGCACACAGGACAAGCUAUAGUAUACAAACCUGAAAAUGUCAAUUUGGGUAACCAAAGAUCUUAUUCUACCGAGAGGAUGGGUGACAAUAAACAUAAAGGUAAAUAUGUACAGAAAAACUCCAACCAACCAGUUAUAUCCAGAGCUUUAAGCUCACCUGCGUCUAUGCAAGAGAAAAACCCUAAUUUUUUAAACCAACCAAAUCAUAUGCAAGCAAAGCAGUUUAAGAAAGCACCCCAUGAAUUCUUUGGAAAUGGCAAUCCUGUAGGCUCUUCUAGUCAAUCCAUUCCAAACUUGUUUAUUGAAAAUUCCAGCCAUGCUAGGAUUGAUGGCAAUGGUUCAAUGGGUAGUUCCUCAUGUUACCAACCUUCUCACCUGGCUCAUGCUAGGUCUGAUGGCAAUAUUUCAAUGAGUAAUUCCUCAAGUUACCAACCUCCUCAUAUGAGGCAAAACAACAUGCAGCUCCAUCCUCCUUUUCGACCGGAUAAUGUUUUUCCUCCUAACUCUCUUAAUCAUAAUCCUUUUCCAGUCCUUGGUCAACCUGAUCUCCCUGCACCCAAUAUUAGUCAGCUACAUAUCUCUGAUUAUCCCAAUUAUCCUAUAAAUCCUCAAAAUUUCCAUCAACAAACUGGUGAAUUUAGACCACAUUCUAAGUCUCAAAAUCCUGCUAACUUUAAUGCCCCUGACAAAAGCCGUAGUCAUCAUGGUGGCCAAUCAUUCCAUCAUGAUGCAUUGAAUAAAAGACAUGCCCGUGAUGCAGUAGAGUAUACACCUCAUUCAUCUUUUACCACUGUUACUAGAAGUUUAUCUCAUAACGAUGGCUGGGGAUCUCAGGGGCAACCACCACCAUCAGAGUACAUUCAAGGCCUCAUUGGAGUUAUUCUUCUUGCAUUGAACACCCUGAAAGUGGAAAAAAUUAUGCCAAAGGAGGAAAAUAUAGCUGAGUGCAUACGAUAUGGAGAUUUGAGAAACUGCAAUACUGAUGUAAAAAUGGCACUAGAUAGUGCGAUAGAGCAUAAUAUGGUAGUGAAGCAGGAGAUAGGAGAACUGCAACUGUAUGUUGGUAAAACAGAAAAACUGUGGAAAUGUGUGAACCCUCUAGGUGGGUAUCCUAAUCAGUACCCAAAAGCCAUAUGGGAUAAGAUUCAUUAUUUUUUAGCUUCUCCAGCUGGUCGUUCUGCAAUGAUGGCUUCACGUUGCAGAUAUGAAGCAGCAUUGAUUCUGAAGAAAGAAUGCUUAACAGAUUUUGCUUUGGGCGAUGUGCUUCAGAUUUUGCAUAUGAUAACCUCCAUGAAGAAAUGGAUUACUCAUCAUAAUUCAGGAUGGCAGCCAAUUAAUAUUAUACUAGCAGAAGGUAAUACAGAUGCAAGUUCAAGAACUGAACUUGAUUGAUCAACACAAAUACCGAUUUAGUUAAAGAAAAAUACCCUCGAACUGCCGCUAUGAAGGCUGAUUAAGGUGUGAUAUUAGCACAUUGAAGGAGGGGAGUAUUAUUACAAUUGAUACCAGAAGCUACUGGAAUUACAGAUGUUUAAAACCUCAAGGUUUGCCUAUUCUGUUCUUUUACUUUUACGUUACUGGAGAAAAUAUUCCCGUGUUGAAGUGCCUGUAAAACCUUGGAACCAAUAGUCUAUGAAGAUCAUCCUAGGUGCAGGACUACCAUUUUAAGUUUCUUUCUGGAAGGAAUUGGUUUGUUCACGUGUUUUUCUCGUCUUCUCAGCAAGUUGUACAUUUGAUGCCUGUUUUGAGACGCUAUAAGUUUGUCAUCUAUGGCGCUGGACAGUGUUUUAAAAAGCGCCCUAAGGCGCGCGCCUAGGCGCGCCUAGGCUCAAGGCGCCCACUUGGGGCUUAUUUGUGAGGAGGCGCAGCGAAUUAUAAAAAGCCCAUAUUAGGCGCGCGCCUCCCUUGAGGCGCGCCUAGGCGCAAGUCGAAUUAGGCGUGGGCUUUUUUUUAUAAGUUAUGGGCUGGGCUUUAAUUAUAAAAAACUAUUAUUAUUUAGGUUUUUUAAACCUAUUACGUAAACGUGAAGAAAGAACCCUUCUCCUUUCGCGCGUGAAGUUUCUUCAACACGACUCUUCAUCUACUUCUUCAGUUCUUCGUCUUCCGUUCUGCUUCUACUUCAGUUCUUCGUCUUCGUCUUCCGUUUGCUUCCUUUUCCACCCUUCCAUUCCGGCCACCCUUUCUUCUUCACACAAAACGAGUGCUGCGGCUGCCAUUACUCUGUUUUUUGGUGCACACGACUCUUCAUCUACUUCUUCAGUUCUUCGUCUUCCGUUCUGCUUCUACUUCAGUUCUUCGUCUUCGUCUUCCGUUUGCUUCCUUUUCCACCCUUCCGUUCCGGCCACCCUUCUUCUUCACACAAAACGAGUGCUGCGGCUGCCAUUACUCUGUUUUUUGGUGCAAAAACAGAGGAAAAGAGAAGACAAUAAUAUUCUGUGCUACAGUGCUGCUAGUGCUUCAGUUUUCGCCUCCUCCAUCUCAGCUUUAUCACGGGUUAGUAUCUCAAUCGUUCAGUUAACAUCUGCAUUGCUUUCUCCUUCUUCUGUAACUCUUUGACAAGAACAUCAAACUCCAUUGUUUUCUGUUUUCAUAGCAUGGUAUACCCAUUGAGUUAGAAAAAACUCUCUAAAGUCUACAUCUUCUUCUUCUUAUACUUCUCAACUUCAACUUCCUUCGAUAACCCAUCAAACUCAACCUUCAUCCCAUCCAUCUCACAACACACUCCCCUCCAAUCCUCCAUUUAUAACAACUUCAUCCCAUCCCAUCCCAUCCAAAGGGACAAAAUAUCUCCAGUGGAAUGGUGGGAUAAUUUUGGACAAUCAACUCCAAACUUGCAAAAGUUUGCUGUGAGAAUUUUAGGUCUUACUUGUAGUGCUUCUGGAUGCGAGCGUAAUUGGAGUGUGUUUGAACAGCUUCAUAGCAAGAAACGAAAUAGGCUUGCUCAAAGUCGUUUGAAUGAUCUAGUGUUCAUCAAAUACAACAGAGCACUAAAACGUCGAUACAACCUACGAGAUAUUGUCGACCCCAUCUCCUUGAAAGAUAUUGAUGAUAGUAAUGAAUGGUUGAUUGGAAGAUUGGAUGACGAUUCUGAGGAGGAUGAUGAGUUGGUAUUUAAUGAUGAUUCUUUAACGUGGGGUGAUGUUUCUAGAGCUGUCGGAGCAAAAGAACCAUCAUUCUAUUCUAGAGCUAGUACCUCUAGACCAAAGACUAUUGUUUCAUGUUCAUCCUCGUCUACCACGCAACGGAAACAAGUAAAUUUAGAUGACUUCGAUUUGGAAGAAGAAGAUACUGAUGGCUAUAAGUCUAACGAAGGAUUGAAUGAAGACGAGGAUCAAUUUAGUGAUGAUGAGUUUGAUCUUUAGGGAUGAACUUUUAUUUUGAUUAUUGACUUGUUGAAUACUGGGUAGUUUUUUGUUGUGUUUUGUUGUUUAGGCUACUUAUAUUGGGUACCUAUAUUUUAUACAUUGUUGCUCUGCUAUAUGUGUGUAUAUAUAUUUUCUUCUCUUUUUAUAUAUAGUGCGCCUUAUGAAAAAAAGCUCGCGCUUUUUUUUGCGCCUUGCGCCUAGGCUCCAGAGGACCAAUGCGCCUUAGUGCGCCUUGAGCCUUUAAAAACAGAGGCGCUGGAUGUUCUAUUGUUUUGACUACACUAGGUUAGCUAGCUGCUUCAGGACUUUGUAUGUCACCAUGCCUUGUUUACUACAGAAGGAUAUUAGCAUAGAGGAAUCCACUGCCGGUGGAUCAGCUUGAAGAAGUCGGCCAGCAAAUUAAACAUGGAGCAUUCUGAAGGUUUCUUUUUCUUCUAUUCUUUUGGCCCCCAUAGAUAUCGACUUAGCACAUAAAAUGGUUUUGCCUUAUUUGUAUUACCCUAGGUUUCUAUGCUCUGUUCUUGCUUAUGGGAUUUGAUUGUAUGGGCACAGUGGUAUUCUUUGACUAUUUGUACUUCUUUCUACUUUCGAGAACAGAUAAAACUUUUAUAUGUUUUGAAGCAUAUGCUAUAAGACAACGUGGACACAAGGAAAUUAUUGGUUCACUUUUUUGAGAUGCUAUGAAUAAAUGAGCAUACCGUUCGUUUAUGAUU